Molecule: non-coding RNA, 1073 nt
Organism: Coffea arabica (coffee)
Lineage: Eukaryota; Viridiplantae; Streptophyta; Magnoliopsida; Gentianales; Rubiaceae
Source: RefSeq, a predicted model, not a curated record
GCCGUUGCGGUGAGUUCAUUUUAGAAUUCCUGCCUUUUUCUUUCUAUUUUUAGUUUUUCUUUCUAUUCUUGUGAUUGCCUAUUUUACAUCCGUAUGGUAUGCUUUUCUUUGUAGAAUUUUCUGGCCUUUUGAUUCUUGCGAGGAGCCUUCUUUGAAGCUAUCCUUUGUCAUUUGUAUAGUUGUACCUUUGUAAACCACCACUGCCGUCUAUAUUAUUUGUCCUUCAAUUUUUGUUUCUUUUUCUGAACCACACGAUUUCUCUUUUAGCUGAUGGUCUCGAGACCAGAAAAGGUUCCAUCUUUCUCUCUCCUCUUUUCAUUUCCUCCUCUCUUCUUUCCCUCUUUACUUUUCUUCCAUAGGGACAAGCCAACAACAGUCCAACCGUCAAAUGUCCACCUGUUUGAGUUCAAUUUUUUUUCCAGAUAUCAUGUCCAUCUGUUUGAUUUAUAUUACAGCAAGAGAAAUGGGACAAAGAAAAACGUAAGCCAUGAAAAAAAGAAGCAGAAAGGGAGAAAAUGGUUCUUCAUCAAAACAUAGAAAGAAAAUGAGCAGAAGAAUAAGCAGAUGAAGAGAAAAGUAUAAAUUCUCAGCCUAAUCUAAAAACUAUCAAAAAAUCUCAGGACAAGAAAUGUACGGAGACUUUUGUGAGAAGGCUGGAUGGGCUUUAAGUUUAACCGCCCUUGUGGAAGUGGGAUCAUCAAUUGUAGCUGAGGCUUAAUCUUUAGUGAGUUAUUCUUUGUAGUUCACUGAACCUUCAAAUGUUCUCUCCUUAAUUAUCUCAGUUGUUCAUGUCUCCAGUGUAGUUGAAUUGUAACAUUAAUUACAAUUUAUCUCUCAUUUAGGGAGUGUGCAUGCUUGUGUGCGGAAGGUCUGAUGAGUUUUAUGCAUAUUUUUUGUGUUGAAGGAUCACUACUAUGGCUUUGGUUUGGCCAUUUGGGGAAAAAUCUGGGACUUGUAGAAGAAAAUCUUUUUUUUGAUUGAUUAGAGGAAAAAAUGUAUAUCGUGCUCAUUGUGCUUUCUGUGUAAAUCUUCCCAACAAUAGGAACAUUCUUUCCAAUAAAUUUAAAACCAAG